This 484-nucleotide ribosomal RNA is filed under the name uncultured bacterium. RNAcentral describes it as "partial 16S ribosomal RNA". It matches the Rfam family "Bacterial small subunit ribosomal RNA", at positions 29 to 507 of the family's 1533-position model. The record is from RNAcentral.
AUUGAACGCUGGCGGCAGGCCUAACACAUGCAAGUCGAGCGGCAGAAGAGAGCUUGCUCGUGGUUACGGGGGCGGAGGGGCGGGUGAGGGCGAGAAACAUGCGAGGCAGCGGGGGCUAGCGUGAGGAAGCGGGGGCACAUACCGCAAAACCGCAGAGGACGUACGGGGGGAAGCAUGGGACCUUCGGACCUCACGCGAUUCUAGGUCGGAUUAGCUAGUUGGCGGGGUAAAGGCCUACCAAGGCGACGAUCCGUAACUGGUCUGAGAGGAUGAUCAGCCACACUGGAACUGAGACACGGUCCAGACUCCUACGGGAGGCAGCAGUGGGGAAUAUUGGACAAUGGGCGCAAGCCUGAUCCAGCCAUGCCGCGUGUGUGAAGAAGGUCUUCGGAUUGUAAAGCCCUUUUGUUUGGGAAGAAGAGCAGUAGGUUAAUACCUCGCUGUUUUGACGUUACCCACAGAAUAAGCACCGGCUAACUUCGUG